RNAcentral lists this ribosomal RNA (329 nucleotides) under Klebsiella aerogenes. Its description in RNAcentral is "bacterial SSU rRNA". It matches the Rfam family "Bacterial small subunit ribosomal RNA", at positions 99 to 431 of the family's 1533-position model. The record is from RNAcentral. Lineage: Bacteria; Pseudomonadati; Pseudomonadota; Gammaproteobacteria; Enterobacterales; Enterobacteriaceae.
CGGACGGGUGAGUAAUGUCUGGGAAACUGCCUGAUGGAGGGGGAUAACUACUGGAAACGGUAGCUAAUACCGCAUAACGUCGCAAGACCAAAGUGGGGGACCUUCGGGCCUCAUGCCAUCAGAUGUGCCCAGAUGGGAUUAGCUAGUAGGUGGGGUAAUGGCUCACCUAGGCGACGAUCCCUAGCUGGUCUGAGAGGAUGACCAGCCACACUGGAACUGAGACACGGUCCAGACUCCUACGGGAGGCAGCAGUGGGGAAUAUUGCACAAUGGGCGCAAGCCUGAUGCAGCCAUGCCGCGUGUAUGAAGAAGGCCUUCGGGUUGUAAAGU